This 615-nucleotide transfer RNA is filed under the name Bradyrhizobium sp. S3.129. RNAcentral describes it as "partial 16S-23S ribosomal RNA intergenic spacer". The stretch from base 66 to 138 matches the Rfam family "tRNA". Lineage: Bacteria; Pseudomonadati; Pseudomonadota; Alphaproteobacteria; Hyphomicrobiales; Nitrobacteraceae. The record is from RNAcentral.
GGUCGGAAGUUCAAGUCUUCCCAGGCCCACCACACUCAUCGAGUAAGCAUUCGUCUUCUGGUUACGGGGCCAUAGCUCAGCUGGGAGAGCGCGUGCUUUGCAAGCAUGAGGUCGUCGGUUCGAUCCCGUCUGGCUCCACCAGCCUUCGCUGGCUAAGCCAGCUACGGCGAGGCGAGCCGGUCGAAUGCGAAGGCUGCCACGUCGGAGCUCGAAAGAGCGGAGACGGGCCGGCGCCUGACCGACAAAUAAUCGUCCGCGAAACAUCACUUCGCACCCACUAGUCCGGAUGGACGGUGAGGUUGCGUGAUUUCUGACAUCGUAAAGAGGAGAUCGAUCCGAGUUGGAUCGUGCAGCAAGCAAUUGCUACGCGAUACUUCAUUAUCUCCGGAUCAUUUCGGCGCUCACGCGUCCUUCAAGGUCAAACUUGAAAGACGGGCGAGUUGUAAAUGAUCCUUUUAGCGAAGCUUGACCGCCUCGCUAUCGGAACGAUCUUACGAAGCAAGCUGGUCUUUCUAAUCAUUGUCCGGCUGUAUGUAGCGUUCAUCGAGGGCGCGCGCCGCAAGGCAAUCGUACAGACAACAUUCUGCCGAGUGUGUGGACAUUGAUAAUGAGAGC